AAAAUGCAGUUUCGAAUUAAAAAUUCUUGCAUUUAAAAACACGGAUAAGUGUGCGAGCGGCUCGGAUCUUAUAAACAGAUCGCAAUAAAUGGUGGAAUAUUCUACGAACGUCGUUUGGGACAAGGAACGCUUGGCAAAAAAAAAAGGUUCGUGUGCCGUCAAACGAGUCUCAAACGGUUCACAGAUUAAAAACGGAUAUGUUUGGAAAAACGUUCGACGAGCCGCAGGAUAAGUUACCUAACAGACACGUCGUAACACGUUCGAACCAAGUUGUUUCUAAAGCCGAGCGACGGCACACCAGUGAACAUAAUACAUACGUGUUUCGGUGUAAUCGAAAAACAACGAUCUCGAACAGGUCCUUACAGGUGCAUUCGAACCAGCUUGAACGUACGGAACACGCUGUCGAGGAACGAACACUGAAGAGGCGAAAGAAUUUUACAAAAUGUUUCUAUACGCUUGCAAAAACUAUCAGAGUUCUCCAACCAAGUUGCUCUUAUAUUUUCUGAUCUGUAACCCUUUGUUUACCUAAUAUUGACAAUAAUAAUAAACAACAUGAUGAACAAUA
Molecule: non-coding RNA, 565 nt
Organism: Megalopta genalis
Lineage: Eukaryota; Metazoa; Arthropoda; Insecta; Hymenoptera; Halictidae
Source: RefSeq, a predicted model, not a curated record